UUUCAACAAUAGAAUCCCCCA
Molecule: non-coding RNA, 21 nt
Filed under: Caenorhabditis elegans
Lineage: Eukaryota; Metazoa; Nematoda; Chromadorea; Rhabditida; Rhabditidae
Source: RNAcentral